Molecule: long non-coding RNA, 1567 nt
Organism: Magnolia sinica
Lineage: Eukaryota; Viridiplantae; Streptophyta; Magnoliopsida; Magnoliales; Magnoliaceae
Exons: 4
Source: RefSeq, a predicted model, not a curated record
AUCAUAUUCCUAUUUGAUCUUUAAGCUAAUGUGCUUAUUGUCCCAUUACUAUGUGAUCUAUUAGCCAAUUUGCUUCUCAUUGUUGCUAUUUCUCUAGGUGCUAUUAUGCUACCUUGCUUCUGCUUUUGUAAGUGAGUUCUAAGCUGUUAAACAAGAAUGCGUGAGUCCUGCUCAAAGAAGGAAGUUGCUGCUACACAGAUUCCAAGAGAAGAAUUUGAAAAUAUAACUUUUGGAGAGAAUGGAAUGCAAAUUAGAAGAGCAGAAGCUUGAAAAGUGGUUCACACAGCAUUUGCGGCCCACCAGAUGCCUAGACUGCCCUAAUUUUCAGGCCAUGGGACACCACCUGAACUUCCUGGAUCUUACUUAGCACGGGAGAAUGAUUUGAAAUCCUACUCAUGUCACUUGCCAGAUGGAUUCAACAAUGCACUCUUGUUGUGAAGGAUCCAUAAAAGGCAACCUCUAGGGCCGAAAAGAAAGUCCAUAUGCCAAGCUCUUGCUAACUCCGAAACCUUAACAAAAAGGAUCCAUAAAUGCAACCACGAUUGUCAACUAUGAGAAGGAAGGUUAACUGCAAUCUGGCAUUUUUAUUUAUUUAUUUAUUUAUUUUAAAUAUAAAAAUCUCUUCUUGUUGAUCUAUUAAGGUUUUGAUUGGAAACUGGUAUAUCUUUCUAAAAUUUGCCCCUUACCUCUCCUUUGAAACUAUUCAAUACAUUGUCAAGGCCUAGUUUCAUUAGAAUUCCUCUCACUACAAGAAAGUGGAGAAUAUCCGGCGAAUUUUUACUGGCGGCCAUCACCAACUGCCGGAUGCUCGGACAACUUAAAAUGAAAAGCCCUAUCUCUCUGUCUCUCUUUACUUCUCACUAUCUCUCUCUCUCCCUCUCCAUCUCCAUCUCCACCGUCUUGUCUCUCCCUCUCUCGUCCUCGAUCUCUCUCCCUCAUACUCUCUCGAUCUCUCUCCCUUCCUCUCCCUCCCCCUCUCAAUCUCCCUCUCCCGUCCUCGAUCUCUCUCCCUCAUACUCUCUCGAUCUCUCUCCCUUCCUCUCCCUCCCCCUCUCAAUCUCCCUCUCCUCGCUCUCUCUCGAUCUCUCUUUCCCUCGUUUUCUUCAACGUGUUGUUCCUUCUUUGAUCUCUCUCCAAUAAUUGAAGAAAAUAGAAGAAAGAAGAGAAAAUCGAAGGUUCGAAUUCCAAAUGUAGUAUGGAUUGAUCGGAUGGUCAGUGGGAGCGACAUUGGGUUAUGCACAGACUGCAAAGCUCAGCUGUUGGGUUUGUAUUAUUCCAUUACAUUCUAUUGUUUGUGCAUUCUUUCAUCGGUCAAUACAAGUUUGGAUGUUCCCAACACUUGAGUGUUUACAAUUAUUAUCCCUUGUCGUGUUAACUUUGAAAGUAAAUCUUAGUGCUGCUUUUUUUUUUUAUUAAUUAACUUUUCUAACAACUAGUGCUAUAGAUGGACUUUGCCUUUCAUAGUUGUACCAACGGCUAUUGGAGCUUCCCUGGAUAUAAAUCUGAGCAAUGUGUCCCUUUUUUUCAUAUUCGUGACAUUUACCACCAUGGUUGGUCUGUUAUUCCC